GUGCCCACUUAGGCAGCACAUGUAUUAAAAUUGGAACAACACAGGGAAGAGGAGUGUGGUCCCUCUGUGAGGAUGACAUGCAAAUCCACGAAGCCUUCUGUAUUUUU
This 107-nucleotide small nuclear RNA is filed under the name Sciurus vulgaris (Eurasian red squirrel). Lineage: Eukaryota; Metazoa; Chordata; Mammalia; Rodentia; Sciuridae. The record is from RNAcentral.